Long non-coding RNA from Aedes albopictus (Asian tiger mosquito), 1159 nucleotides. RefSeq lists it as uncharacterized. The transcript has 3 exons. NCBI's taxonomy places the organism in Eukaryota, Metazoa, Arthropoda, Insecta, Diptera, Culicidae. The record is from RefSeq and is a predicted model, not a curated record.
AAUGGUUCUCGAGAGUAAUCCGACCGGUACAAGAAGACGUGAUGCGCAGCGAGCUAGGUGGGUCGACCAAGUGGAGGACGAUCUGCGGACUCUACGCAGAGUGCGGAACUGGAGACAAACAGCCAUGGACCGAGUGGAAUGGAGACGGCUACUAUGUACAGCAGAGGCCACGCCGGCCUUAGCUUGAUUGGUAAGGUAAGUAAGCCAUUUGGCAAAAUAGAUCCCCCUGACCACAGUACAAUCCGGAAUAUCUCCGAAAUGGUUCCGGAUAUUGCAAGGCCACUUGAGUAUAAUAAACUUGCAUCAAUUCAGGAUCGAUUGAGGGCGAUUUAAAAAAAAAACGAAUGAAAAUGUGACGAAAUACCAGCAUUUUGAGAAUGACUUGUCGGGGGUCGGGUACGUGAAGGUUAAGCACACACUGAUAUCCAUUUUAUAUCUGUGUUUCCUAGAAAAAUUUGGUGCAUUUUUAUGCACAAGAUCGAUAACAAGCACCAUCGUAGUAUCACAAUAAAAAAAGCAAAAACAAAGUAUCCACCCCGCAGUCGUAAAAGGAGAGCCCAUUGAACCGGUGUAGGCAGAUUUCAUUCAGUUAGGCACCUGAUUGGAAUAUUGGGAAGUUUUUUUGUAGAAUUAAGUGAUCUCGAUAGUAUUAAAUACUUCCGCUUUGCCAGUUUUCGAGGCCUACCGAGUACCGAUUUAUCCGGAGAACAUGGGAGGCAUCUUCACCUUAAUAGGUGUUGUAGCUAUAAGCGCCCUGUAUUAUAUAUCACUACGGCUCAAUUUAAAUUAUACAAGGUCGUCCGACUCAAGCAUACACCACAACCAGGAAAGUAAUAUCACGACCUUUGCAGCUGAGGCAAUCAACCCUACUCGUAACGAGAAAACUUAUUUAAUAGCGAACAAUCGAAAAAAGCAACCAUCCAGCAGUGAAUCGCUAAGAUCUCCUAGUGUCGGAUCGGGUGGAGCAUUAGAAGCGAGGCCGGGUCAUAACAUACCCAAGCCGGAUUUCUAUACGAAAUAACUUCCGAAAGUCACGAGCUGUAAUAAAAUCCUAUGUGUCUUCCGUGGCCAUAAUGGCACAUUUUUCCGUCAGUCAAUGUGAGUUGGAAAUACAAUAAUGAUUUAAAUAUAUACGAUGCAUCCCGGUGUUGUUUAGUAU